GGAACAGAUGAACUACCAUCAGCUGUUAUCCUUUUACAAUAACGAGACUGACAGCCAAUUUGUGAGUUUAGGGUGGGAGCAAGAAGUGCUUACAGCAUAGUGGAUGGGUCUAUGUGUGGGUCUAUUUGUAUAAGGUUUAGAGCAGACUCUUAAACCAGAGCUCUUUGCCUGGGCUCAUCUCCUACACAAACUUCUGAGAUGCUCACGUGUGUGUGCUACUGAGGUUAACAUAUAUGAGAAGCUCAUCUCACAGAAGGAACAUCCAAAAAGAGGAAGCAAACCUGUUUCCUCAGAAUUCGCCCUGGAACUGACUGGAAGAAUGUGAUAGUCCUGGUGACCCAUAACAGAGACCUCCUUGGAUAGCUGUGGGAUGCCUGCAAAGGGCUUGGGAAAGGAACAGGAACUCAGAAGCCAUAGCAUGCUUGGGGCUUCCCCAGUGGGAACUGGCAGGAGACAAACUGGAGGGACCUCUGCGUGCAGGCCUCACCAUGAGGCUCUUGUCACUGGAGGUGACUCCUCAGAGCCCACCCUUCAGGGAGUGGCACUCCUACUUUCCAUCCUACAAUGGCAGCAGUGCUGUAAAGGGCAGUGGAUGGACCUGGGCAUGCUGAAGUAUUGUCACAGAAAAUAA
This 631-nucleotide long non-coding RNA is filed under the name Numida meleagris (helmeted guineafowl). Its description in RNAcentral is "lncRNA (ENSNMEG00000014910.1)". The record is from RNAcentral. Lineage: Eukaryota; Metazoa; Chordata; Aves; Galliformes; Numididae.